GUCAUUUUUGUUUGUUGCAAGGUGUAUUAUAAUUCCCAUUGCUGUAAUGCAUUAUCUUUUUUAUAAUGCACUGCAAUCUCUGUUACGGUGCAUUAUAAUGUGAUUUUUAAAUAUUCUAUUAUUCUAGAACGUUUUUGUGUUCUUGAUUUAAUGAUUUAUUUUUACUUAAAGCAAAUAAUGGCCACUUACAGUGCAUUAUUACUCAAUUAUAAGUCAAUUAAAAUACACUAUGAUCUUUGCAACAACAAAUAAUGUUCAGUGAGUGACCAUCAAUUAUGAAGCAUUAUGAUAAUUGACCUCAUAAAUGUGUUAUGGUUAUUUGAAUGAGUGCUAUAAGUUAGCAAUAAAAGCGUGAUCUUUUUUAUUCAUGGUAAAGGACGUUGACGAUGUCAUGUACAAACAGUCCCAUUCCAAAAUAAACAAACGUACUUAAAGAGAAAAUAAAACAUGAAGCAUCUUUGUUGUCCACAUUGAAUCACAUUCCCAAAUGAUUACCGUACCAGUAAUUUCUGCUGAUGGCUGUGUCUCUUUAGUACGGUUCGGACCUCUGUUCAAAGACGGGCGACUCAGAAGAAGCUGCAGAUCACAAACCCUCCAGAGGGGGAGCUGUGCCUGACGGCCGGAACAUUUCGACACACAACCACAAUACCAGCAAACAGCUGACAGACGAGAGGUCCAAGGACGCCACCCUGCACCGUAAGACAAACGCCACAACCAACUUUCCGAAGCACCACGACGCGUUCAAGGCCCCGGAAGCCCCGUACAGAAGAACCCCUGCGGAUGCUCACCAGCCUCAACCUCACCCUUCCCCGUCCUCAUCCAGACGCUUGCAGCCCAUGGCUUUGCCUCUUCCUCCUCAGAGUGGCUUCAAGACCCUCGACAAGAGACCUGCUCUGGGCGGGGAGUUCAUGAUGCCGCCUAAUCUGCUGACUGAACUUAGCUCGGUGCUAAGCAAGACUAGUCGUGGUGCCAAGAGCAACGACUGACAGGAUGUCAGGAGGAGGAGAGGUACACAGAAGGGUCAGUUUGAACGGUAAGACACAACAUUACACGGCCGAGUAUACAAAGAAAGACGUGGCAGAACAAGACCACACGAUGCUGAUGGAGCCAAAGAAAGUUGCUUCGUGAGGGGAGGGGGAAGGGGGGGACGUUAUAGCCUGAAGACGGCGGUGCACAAGGGUAUGUGGAAAGCAGGUGCGCAAGACAUUGGAGGUCAUGCAGACCUCAGCUGGACACAGCGCUGACCCAAGCACUACAAAGCCUGAUUCAUACGCCGCUCUGCUCCAAAAAUGUGUCCGGACGUCAAACCCACAGAAGUUUCCCGAAAUGCUCCCAAAGGAUUCGCUUCGUGACUUCACGUUCACUUUGAAAAUGCUGUUUUGACUACAUCUGACAAGUAUUAUGAUUAUUUGAAUCCUUACACGGUGAGCUUUUAAAGGUAUCUUUAGGUCAUUUUUUUCCACUGUAAUGUAAUGGAGUUGCACAUAUUAAAUAGCAUUUCCUAUAUUUUGAAUUAAUAGUGGCGGGGUCUGCCACCAACGCACGGAAUUAUAAAAACCUUAGUUUGUACUGGAAUGCAACGAAAAUGAGACGAUGCAAAGUUAGCUAACAGUGGAGGGCAAUCUCACAAGUUACUAUUUAUUUCUGAGUAUUUUUAAAUAUGUUUUUAUAACAGCUACGUUACCCACAAUGUUUUGUUGUAUAGCUAACUAGCGAUUUAUUUUCUUUUUUUAAGCAUAUUAUUCUGUACUUCCACCUACUGUAAAUGUACACUAUAAAUAUACUAAUAAACAUUGCAAAAUGCUUUAACUUGCUAUAUUACUAAUAUUUUAAGUUUUACCUUCAUGUUCAGGGUUUUCGUACAAUAACAAAAAUAAUGCAAGCUAAACGUUAGCCAAAGUUAGCUAACACCCCUCCAUGUUUUUGUUUUUUUAUCAAGCACAGUCAAAGUUGCACUACUUAAGUUGAACCCUCCACAGAAACAUCGUCAAAUAAUAACACCAUCUUAUUUAGUAAUGCCACGCUCCAUCAGAAUCCAUCCAUCCUGAACACAAACAGGAUUUUUAAAGUUCAGGUGUGAAGUCAACAGAUUACGAUCUAAAGAUAUAUAUAUAUAUAUAUAUAACUUUCUAUUUGACGGUCUCUGUUUAUACUUAGUGGGCACACAAAAAACAUUGAUGAAAUGAGGAGCUGUGCUCAGGUCUGUCAGUGUAAAUAAAACAUUUCCUUUCCUGCGUUUCCACAGAAAUGCAGAUGCUGGGAACAAUAGAGAUGGUGGAGGUAUCGGUGUGUGUGUGUGUGUGUGUGUGUGUGUGUGUGUGUGUGUGUGAGUGUGACCGAAAGAGAGAUACACACAGGAAAUUGUUUUUUCGAGAAAUUGCCAGUUUUAUACUUCUUCACAGCAACAAAACUAGAAAUAUACCCUGAUCCAUCAGAUAAUUACAGUUAGGUAAAAAUAAAAUACCGCAUGUAGGGAAGCCAUUAAAAUAAUAAGAGAAUGAAAGCAUCAGUGUUAAAUGAUAAUUACCGACAUUGCUUCCAGGUUUAUUAUCCAUCGUGAUUGGAUUUCUUUUUUUGUUCUGUUCAAUUGCUAAGAAGUCUUUAUCUGUGUUUUUAUUUCUAUUUUAAUAUUGCAUCUGUUCUCUGCUUUAUAGAAUGCAGUCAUUUGGGCCCUUUUCACCAGGUAAAUGUGCUC
Molecule: long non-coding RNA, 2695 nt
Organism: Cottoperca gobio
Lineage: Eukaryota; Metazoa; Chordata; Actinopteri; Perciformes; Bovichtidae
Source: Ensembl